CGCAGGGUUGAGAAACGGCAUCUCGCGUGGCUCAUAACCACGAGACAGCGGGUUCGACUCCCGCCCUUGCAACCA
This 75-nucleotide transfer RNA is filed under the name Ruminiclostridium sp. Its description in RNAcentral is "tRNA-Met". It matches the Rfam family "tRNA". From Rfam's summary of the family: Transfer RNA (tRNA) molecules are approximately 80 nucleotides in length. Lineage: Bacteria; Bacillati; Bacillota; Clostridia; Eubacteriales; Oscillospiraceae. The record is from RNAcentral.